Molecule: unclassified non-coding RNA, 804 nt
Filed under: Cenococcum sp. SB26
Lineage: Eukaryota; Fungi; Ascomycota; Dothideomycetes; Gloniales; Gloniaceae
Description: sequence contains 18S rRNA gene, ITS1, 5.8S rRNA gene, ITS2 and 28S rRNA gene
Rfam family: 5.8S ribosomal RNA (bases 613-758)
Source: RNAcentral
GGGGGGAGUCCCCCCUCUAUGUUGAACACUUUGCUAGUUUCGGCCAGCCGCACAUCUCACCCCUUCUGGAUGGCGCGCGCGGCCCGAAUGUGUCGUUCGCUGUGGACUGGCGUCUUUUGACUACCACACUUCAACUUUGACUCUUGGAAGGUUUGAUCUCUUGAUCUCACUACACUUAACUUCCCCAACAAGUCUAAAUCUCUGUUUAAAAGAUACUUGCAGGAGCAACAUGUCAUCAGUGAAGUCACUUGGUCCCCUCGGCGAAUCCGCGGAACUUUCCUGUUCAUUCGGCAGUUGGGGGUCCUUUGGGGCUUGGCUUGGACCUAAUCGGUCCUCUUCGACCCUUAAGGGGGUAAGUGCGCUGCUUGAACUAAACGGCCCAAUCCUGCUCGCUGUCAGCUCCUGUCACAUGCAUCACGGUGCCACUGAUCGUUAGACGUUCCGGUGCGGAACCUGUCGAGAGAUCUGCUUAUCUAACAGAUAUCCAUCAGUGCAGGAACUUCUCUGGAUCUCAUAAAUGUCUCUCCCCACCGAGGACAGCUUUCUACACAUAUGAUCUAUCAUAACGCCUGUGACUCCCAGUGAGUUUGAUCAUAUCAAAUAAGAAAAGGAAACUUACAGACGGAAUAUCUUGGUCCGAGGAACGAUGAAGAACGCAGCGAAUGCGAUAAGUAGUGUGAUUGCAGAAUCAGUGAUCAUCGCAUCUUUGAACGCACAUUGCGCCCUAGUAUCCGGAGGAGGAUGGCUGUCGAGCGUCAUUUCACCACUCAAGCCUGCUAGUGUGGGCGACGUCCCUUGGGACGC